UUGUGUUUAAGUUGGUGACCUGGAGUAAAGGCUUCAUCACAGAACAUACAGAGACCUUUGGAACGUCGGUCUUGCAUUUCUUGAUAGCUGAACUUUCUUGCGGGUUUAUCAUUGUUGUUGCGGGGAAUGAAAGAGGGUUUAUUUUGGGUAGUGGGUAGUAGUGGGGUGGUGGUGGUGGGUGUUUUAUAGGGUAGGUUUGUGGUGGGUUUUUGGGUGGGGAAAUGGUUGAAGGGAGCUCGUUGGUACUUAUGCGGUGUUUGGGCAAGUGAGGACUCGUGAAGGCUAGCGAUCCUUGCUGCGUCAGAUACCGUAGUGACACUGAACUGACGUACAUGGAGGGAGAGGUGAGGGUUCAUGUUGGUGAGGAAGAAACUGAGGGCGUGGGUUUCAGGUAGUGUUAGGCGGGUUCUGAUGUUCUCGAACUUAUCAAGGAACGUGAUGAUUGAGUCAGAACC
RNAcentral lists this long non-coding RNA (455 nucleotides) under Brassica napus (rape). RNAcentral's name for it is "long non-coding RNA (BNAP_LNC025075)". The record is from RNAcentral. Lineage: Eukaryota; Viridiplantae; Streptophyta; Magnoliopsida; Brassicales; Brassicaceae.